AUCGUUUGCAUCCGUUUCUAC
Molecule: microRNA, 21 nt
Filed under: Ananas comosus (pineapple)
Lineage: Eukaryota; Viridiplantae; Streptophyta; Magnoliopsida; Poales; Bromeliaceae
Description: microRNA s1470_c080b
Source: RNAcentral